Molecule: ribosomal RNA, 329 nt
Filed under: uncultured eukaryote
Lineage: Eukaryota
Description: partial 18S ribosomal RNA
Rfam family: Eukaryotic small subunit ribosomal RNA
Source: RNAcentral
CCCUUAGAUGUUCUGGGCCGCACGCGCGCUACACUGACGAUGGCAACGAGUUUUUCCUUCGCCGAAAGGUGUGGGUAAUCUUUUGAAACAUCGUCGUGCUGGGGAUAGAUCAUUGCAAUUUUUGAUCUUGAACGAGGAAUUCCUAGUAAGCGCGAGUCAUCAGCUCGCGUUGAUUACGUCCCUGCCCUUUGUAUACACCGCCCGUCGCUACUACCGAUUGAAUGGUUUAGUGAGGACUCCUGAUUGGCGCCGCCGCCCCGGCAACGGAGCAGCGGACUGCCGAAAAGUUGUUCAAACUUGAUCAUUUAGAGGAAGUAAAAGUCGUAACA